This 369-nucleotide ribosomal RNA is filed under the name uncultured organism. Its description in RNAcentral is "bacterial SSU rRNA". It matches the Rfam family "Bacterial small subunit ribosomal RNA", at positions 526 to 896 of the family's 1533-position model. The record is from RNAcentral.
CGAAUGGGGCAAGCGUUGUUCGGAAUCACUGGGCUUAAAGCGUAUGCAGGUGGAUUUACAAGUCAGAAGUGAAAUCCCAGGGCUUAACCCUGGAAUUGCUUUUGAAACUGUAGAUCUGGAAUCCCGGAGAGGUUAACAGAAUUCCGAGUGUAGAGGUGAAAUUCGCAGAUAUUCGGAGGAAUACCAGUGGCGCAAGCGGUUGACUGGACGGGCAUUGACACUCAGAUACGAAAGCGUGGGUAGCAAACAGGAUUAGAUACCCUGGUAGUCCACGCCAUAAACGAUGUGUGCUAGUUGUCGGGAUCUUAGAUCUCGGUGACGCAGCGAAAGCGGUAAGCACACCGCCUGGGGAGUACGGUCGCAAGAUUA